Molecule: long non-coding RNA, 395 nt
Organism: Venturia canescens
Lineage: Eukaryota; Metazoa; Arthropoda; Insecta; Hymenoptera; Ichneumonidae
Exons: 2
Source: RefSeq, a predicted model, not a curated record
UCCUGUUAGUUUACAACACGUUUUUCUUUUCAUUAACGAAACAGAUCAAACAAAACGUCAGAGCUAAUUAAAAAAUAGUGAGUCAUGCUCUCAAAUAAAAAACUGCAGUUUUUUCCAGUGUUGAGGGAAUACUAUGGAACAAGAUCAGAGAUCAUUAAUAUCUUUUGCUUUGGACAUCGAUCAACUAAAAAGAAAAAUUGAAGAGCGUCGUAGGGAUCUUGAAGUAGCGAGUGACGUUACGCCAAUUGACUAGAAGCCAACAAGAGAAAAGCACUCACCGCACCACCGCCGCACUUGUGCAGUCAACAAGAAUCGGCCUACCUAAAUAAUUGUUUCCUUAAAUUUGUUCACAUGUAUAACACAGAUACAUAAAAUAUAUGGAUAAAUUUCACGAA